UUUAAAUUAAUUUAAAGGAACUAACUUCAAGUUAGUUAAGUCGGUGAUUUCAAAAUGGUGUCGCGUCCUUUCAAACGGUGCGAAUUAAAAGUGUUUCAUAACGUUAUUGUAGUGUUGGUGCGAUUGGGGCGCUCAAAAAUUCUUCAAAUUCGUGCUCCUGGAGCAAUUAGGAUUUCCCCCGCAUGGUGGCGCUUCAUUAAGGUAAGAUUACCCACAAUUCUCUUCGUUACCAACCAACCUCGUUAUUGACGUUUAACCUCAAAUUUUCUUUAAUAAUUAUGUCUAAAAAAACCGAAAUAAUUACACUCAAUACUCGCAAGAAGUAUCAUCAAGGUAAACAAUCAUAUUGUUAAUGGUUACAGUUCUAGUUCAUCGCUUAAUUACGAUAAAUCAAAGAUAUGUUUAUAUCAUUCCGGAAUUGGAUAUCUACGCAAUUUCAAGUUGCGAAACCGCCCCAGUUAGAGAUCUAUUUCGUUGCGAUUAUCGCCGUUUUGACUCAUUAUGGGGUGAAGAAGCAGGCUGCGAAAGCCGCCAAAACCGUUAAAUAUGGUUCGAACGUCGAUGGAAUUAGCACAUGUGACCCCGAACAAUACGCAAGAAGAUUUAUGGAGUUUAUGUCCAAAGCUAUUGAAUAGAUUUAGUGUGAUCGGUUUCUAUUAUCUUUAUUUUGUGUUAUUUAGAGGUUAAUCGGAAGAUUUUAUGUAGGUAGAUGUUGUAAAUAUGAUUUAUUUUUGUGUAAGUUCUUGGUUAGUUUGUUUAUAUCGAUUUUUUAUUGAAAAAAAGAAAAAAAGUGAGGUUAGAACAUGAAAUUUUUUUCAACAUAACCUCAAAUUAUUUAAUUUUUUUUGUUAAAAUCAUUUUUAUAUUACUUUUGAUUAAUCUUAUUCGUGAUUAAUCGUAUUUUCGAUUGAUUUCAUCACUUUUUAUUAAUCACUAUACAAUAAAUCGAUAAAAAAGUGAGGUUAGGUGAAGGAAAAGCCAAUUUUUUUCACAAAAAGGUCACCGAAUUUCUUGGUACAAUAAACUCGCUUAUUUCAAAAGAUAUUAAUGAUUAUUAUAAAAUGUAAGAGAAAUAAAGGGGUUCUAAUUAGAUUAAAACAUUUAAAACCUUUUUUUACAACAAAAGAUUGUUUAAUUUGUACAUAUUAUGUAAGUGGCCCCUUUUUAGGUGUUUAUUUCGUUCAAAGAUGUACAUAUUUGCAUCGGUCGAAGCUUUUAUUAAGAUUGUAACACAGAAAUCGAUUUUUUUUUACUACAAGCUCAAUUCACAACUUUCUACUCUUAACAAAUCCGUAAAAAGGCUACACUCUUUAUAUUCGCUUGUAAAUAUCGUUAUUAUUACGUAUUUUUGUGGUAUUUUUAAUCUAUCAUGUCAUCUAGUCUUAUUCGAGUACGGCGUAAGGUGCAGCUCGUGUCAUGAUUUCUUUACUUCGCGUAUAUAUUUGUGUUAUUAUUACGAUUAUGGAUAUGUUUAUAAAUAAAUUAUGUCUUAAAAAUAA
This is a non-coding RNA of Onthophagus taurus, 1499 nucleotides long. NCBI's taxonomy places the organism in Eukaryota, Metazoa, Arthropoda, Insecta, Coleoptera, Scarabaeidae. The record is from RefSeq and is a predicted model, not a curated record.